AUUGAACGCUGGCGGCAGGCCUAACACAUGCAAGUCGAGCGAGAGGCGGACGGGUGAGAAAUGUCUGGGAAAAUGCCCGAUGGAGGGGGAUAAAUACUGGAAACGGGAGCGAAUACCGCAUACCAUCAGAUGUGCCCAGAUGGGAUUAGCGAGUAGGUGGGGUAAUGGCUCACCUAGGCGACGAUCCCUAGCUGGUCUGAGAGGAUGACCAGCCACACUGGAACUGAGACACGGUCCAGACUCCUACGGGAGGCAGCAGUGGGGAAUAGUGCACAAUGGGCGCAAGCCUGAUGCAGCCAUGCCGCGUGUGUGAAGAAGGCCUUCGGGUUGUAAAGCACUUUCAGCGAGGAGGCGUUACCCGCAGAAGAAGCACCGGCUAACUCCGUGCCAGCAGCCGCGGUAAUUC
RNAcentral lists this ribosomal RNA (406 nucleotides) under uncultured bacterium. RNAcentral describes it as "partial 16S ribosomal RNA". It matches the Rfam family "Bacterial small subunit ribosomal RNA", at positions 29 to 526 of the family's 1533-position model. The record is from RNAcentral.